GGCACAGAUACUGCAUAUGCUAGGGCGGAGCUUCGGUCACGGUGUGGCCGGAGGAGUCGGUUCAGGGACCGACGUCGUCGCUUU
Xanthomonas campestris pv. campestris is the source of this 84-nucleotide small RNA. It matches the Rfam family "rpfG RNA". NCBI's taxonomy places the organism in Bacteria, Pseudomonadati, Pseudomonadota, Gammaproteobacteria, Lysobacterales, Lysobacteraceae. The record is from Rfam.